Molecule: long non-coding RNA, 1960 nt
Organism: Sus scrofa (pig)
Lineage: Eukaryota; Metazoa; Chordata; Mammalia; Artiodactyla; Suidae
Source: RefSeq, a predicted model, not a curated record
AACCCAUGUCCUCAUGGAUACUAGUUGGUUUCGUUACUGCUGAGCCACGAUGGGAACGCCAGGACUCCAUCCCUUUAUUAGCUUUUUACUUGGUCUGACCUCUUGCUUCUCUAUACCACUUUUGCCCAGGACAGAGAUCUGGGGCUUGGGUGGGAAAAGGACAAGAUUUGAAGCAAGAAGCUCUAGGCUGGAAUCAGGUUGGGUUCCAGCACCAGUGCAGUGAUUCUUUCAACCAACCUGUAUUUAUCGAGCAUCUCGGCCAUGCACUGUGCCUGGAGCUGGAAAGAUGACAAGUGCCGACCUUUGUGGAGCUUAUGGUCUAGGGGAGGCUGGGAGAGAAAGACAACAAACAGGUAAACAAGGGCAAUGAAAAAAAGAAUGCAGGGCUGACAAGAGGAUCAUGUGCCUGAGAUGCAGGCCCCUUCCUGCGAAUACGACCCUAAAGACGCCACUGAAGCAAGAAGAAAGCUGACAAGGACUGAAAAACGAAUGUAACAACCAUGAGGAGUGCCCUUCCCGACCCUGCCUUCCUGGACUAGUGGGAGGUUUGGUUGCGAUGCCUGGGAAAGAAAGAGAAGCCCCUGGAGUUUCCUAGUGGCCUAGCGGUUAAGGAUGAGAGCUGGGUGCCAUACCAAAUGACUUUGCUCCGCCCCCGUGAGUCUCCAUAGAUCAUUGCCCAGCUCCAGCCUCAUUCCCCUCUUCCUCCCCCUCAUGGCACUGGAAGCAGAUGAAAGCUGUUCUAGCUUGAGGAUAACAUCAGUUCAGGUUAGAAGUACAAACAACUAGACCUGUAGCAGGCCGUUCUUUCCCCUGCCUCAGUCAGGGCCUUCCACCCACAAGUCCUAGUUCAUGAAAAGAUCAGUGGCCAGGAGAGUGUGCCCAGAAGUUCCCUAAAAGUGGUGCCUGGUAGUAGCGCGGUGGCAGUGACAGGUGGGGAAUAGCCAGAUUCACACUGUAAUGCCAGAGGCAAUGCCUAUGCCCAUCCAUAUACCUUGAGCUCCCUACGGUGGAUCCAAGAUGAAACCUAAGCUUUAAUCUCAUUCUGCUUGACCCACUGUCUCCAAGGUAGCUGAUAUCCUGGGGAACACAAGCUCACUGAGAAAAUUAAGUGGAUUUCUGGAAAGCAUAAGACAGUGCAGAAAUUAAUUGUACAUGAAAUAAUGUUUGUUUCAGUUGCUAAUAAAACAGAUUCCAAGUAACAGUGGCAUAAACACAGUAAAAGUUUGUUUUCCUCUCUUGUAGAAGUUUGGAGGUGGACAGAUGAUGGCUGAUACAAUAGCUCUGUUUUCCUAGGUCUUUAAGGACUCAGGUUUCAUUCCAGAUCACUAGUCCCCUAUCUCGUCUCCAUGGUUCAACCUGGCAGCGAAAGCUCCAGCCAUCACCUCUGUGUUCCAGGCAGCUGGGUAUCAGAACGUUGAGGAAGGAACAAAAAUCAAUUGACUUCAGGUUUCUUAACAGCAACACUGGAUUUAAGAAGACAGUUGAAUAAAACUUUUAAAGGAUGAAAGAGGGAGAACUUUGAACCAAGAUUUUGAUCUCUAGCUAAAUUACCAGGUAUAUAAUUAGCAGCCCCUCUUUGAAAGCACUGUUGAAGGAAGCAUUCCAGCAAGAAGAGAAAUAGCAACAAGUGUGCUCAAACAGCAACCGGUUUAGCAACAGAGAUAUAAAGGGAAACUAGGGCUCCUGCAACAAUCUGCUUCUUCACGUUCCCUCCAACGGAACUUGGGUGGAGGAGGAACAGAAAAGUGUUGACAUGGAAAAAACGAGAAGUGGGAAUUCCCGUCGUGGCUCCGUGGCAUGGACCUGGUACGGAUCAACAUCUGAAAGUUCUAGUUUGAGAGGCAAACCUGAGAAGAAUAGUCUGCUGUCACGGAAGCUGAUUAGAGCCUCCACUGGCCUCCAGCUCCCUCAGCAAACAACACAUACUACAAGGACCUGACAACCCAGUGUCUGCUUACAG